Long non-coding RNA from Serinus canaria (Common canary), 1023 nucleotides. RefSeq lists it as uncharacterized. NCBI's taxonomy places the organism in Eukaryota, Metazoa, Chordata, Aves, Passeriformes, Fringillidae. The transcript has 3 exons. The record is from RefSeq and is a predicted model, not a curated record.
UCUGAUAUAUUUCACAACCGUACUCUGAUCCCAGGAGAAAGAUUGGGUAAGAAACACUGAUCUUUCUUACAUAUCUGUCUGCAAAGUUUUCAGUAGUCCUCUUUUACUAGCGAUCUCUCCUGGAUUAGGUGAGCAAAUUGCCUAAUUGUUUCAGUGGAUUGCUUUAAUUGGUUCUCAUCCAAGCAGCAGAGGGGAUGUAGGAGCACAGCAUUUAACCGAGAGGAAAACAGCAUGUGGGAUGGGAGAAGGAAGGUACACCAUGAAGUUACCCUUGAAGACACCAUGAAGUGUGCAAAAUUUGCAGAUCUUCAUUUGCCAAGGAAAUGUGCUGAACCCAUAUAUGUGUGUGGAAUGGGACAAGGCACCUCCAGCAUGGGGGCCAGCUUCUUCCAAGCUGUCCUAUUACAUUUGCUGGAGCCCAGGAACCAGGGAGAGCCCACUUCACUGCCUGACUUCUCAAGAAUUGCAGAAUAGGCCUGUGCAACAUGAACCUGUCUGUUUCUACUGGGACCUGUCCAAGGGAUGGCUUCUUACCAUAUCUGGCCUGUCUGGAUCACAGUUACACCUACUGGUGUAUUUUCUGUGCCAUCAUUUUUCUGCUGUUUUCUAUGGUUUACUAUACAUUUCUCUGCUUUCUUUUUCUUUUUUCUUCCUAUACUCCUGCUAUUCUUGCAACAUGUGCAAAAAAGUGAACAAAAAUUAUUGCAGGACUUGAUGUGGCUACAUGGCCAUUUUUCCGCAAAUAUUUUCAAAAUAAAUAUAUUUAAUAUUAAAAAAAAAAAUCCUGUCUGCCUUUAAAACCUGUAGUGUCCUGAUUUGUGUUUCACGUAAAAUCAUGUGUCUUCAGCCAGUGUUAACAGAUUGAUUAUUGCCUUAAGUGGCAGAAGAAAAGAAAAAAUGAUGGAACCAUAUCUCCCUCUAACACCUGAGUUCUGGAGGUCACAAGAGAUGUCAUACCUGCAGCUGUGUCCCUGUGGUCCCAGCUUUUAAUUUUUAAACAGAAAUAUUAUCUCCCAAUCUCAG